Molecule: ribosomal RNA, 531 nt
Filed under: Bifidobacterium dentium
Lineage: Bacteria; Bacillati; Actinomycetota; Actinomycetes; Bifidobacteriales; Bifidobacteriaceae
Description: bacterial SSU rRNA
Rfam family: Bacterial small subunit ribosomal RNA
Source: RNAcentral
GUGGUAAUGCCGGAUGCUCCGGUUGGAUGCAUGUCCUUCCGGGAAAGAUUCUAUCGGUAUGGGAUGGGGUCGCGUCCUAUCAGCUUGAUGGCGGGGUAACGGCCCACCAUGGCUUCGACGGGUAGCCGGCCUGAGAGGGCGACCGGCCACAUUGGGACUGAGAUACGGCCCAGACUCCUACGGGAGGCAGCAGUGGGGAAUAUUGCACAAUGGGCGCAAGCCUGAUGCAGCGACGCCGCGUGCGGGAUGGAGGCCUUCGGGUUGUAAACCGCUUUUGAUCGGGAGCAAGCCCUUCGGGGUGAGUGUACCUUUCGAAUAAGCACCGGCUAACUACGUGCCAGCAGCCGCGGUAAUACGUAGGGUGCAAGCGUUAUCCGGAAUUAUUGGGCGUAAAGGGCUCGUAGGCGGUUCGUCGCGUCCGGUGUGAAAGCCCAUCGCUUAACGGUGGGUCUGCGCCGGGUACGGGCGGGCUGGAGUGCGGUAGGGGAGACUGGAAUUCCCGGUGUAACGGUGGAAUGUGUAGAUAUCGGG